RNAcentral lists this long non-coding RNA (243 nucleotides) under Capsicum annuum. RNAcentral describes it as "long non-coding RNA (CANN_LNC015675)". The record is from RNAcentral. Lineage: Eukaryota; Viridiplantae; Streptophyta; Magnoliopsida; Solanales; Solanaceae.
CGAGAAAACUAGUGUUCUAGCUUGAGUUACUAAUUCAUCGUCUUGAAUGUUGUUUUGUUUCAAGCUUUAAUUUGAGGUGUUUAAUGUAUUAGGUGGCUUGGUGAGAUGAUUAUAAUGAAACGUGAAGGAUUUACAAGCCUCAAAUCAAUUGGAAACAUCAUAAAAGGCUUGGAAUGGUCCAACUGAAGCACAACUCACAACAUGACAAACUUAGGAUGCCUGGGAGCUCAAUACCGCAUUGUG